UUCCUGAUGACUGUGAGUUCAAGCGGGUA
RNAcentral lists this non-coding RNA (29 nucleotides) under Mus musculus (house mouse). The record is from RNAcentral. Lineage: Eukaryota; Metazoa; Chordata; Mammalia; Rodentia; Muridae.